Molecule: ribosomal RNA, 253 nt
Filed under: uncultured bacterium
Lineage: Bacteria
Description: partial 16S ribosomal RNA
Rfam family: Bacterial small subunit ribosomal RNA
Source: RNAcentral
UACAGAGGGUGCAAGCGUUGCUCGGAAUCAUUGGGCGUAAAGGGCAAGUAGGUGGUCUCAUUUGUCUAGGGUGAAAUCCUUGAGCUUAACUCAAGAAGUGCCCUAGAAACGGUGAGACUCGAGUUCUGGAGAGGGUCGUGGAAUUCCCGGUGUAGCGGUGAAAUGCGUAGAGAUCGGGAGGAACACCUGCGGCGAAGGCGGGUUGCUGGGCUGACACUGACGCUGAUGCGCGAAAGCCAGGGGAGCGAACGGG